RNAcentral lists this long non-coding RNA (537 nucleotides) under Felis catus (domestic cat). RNAcentral's name for it is "lncRNA (ENSFCAG00000041800.2)". Lineage: Eukaryota; Metazoa; Chordata; Mammalia; Carnivora; Felidae. The record is from RNAcentral.
GCUAACUGAGAAUAUAAGAUGAAUAAGGAAAUGCACACCUUCGUAUUUUUAGAAUUUAAAUGAAGUUGGAGAAUAACCUGCAAGUUGUAAGAAGCCCUGGAGAAUGACUAAUGUUAUCAGCUUAAAGAAAUCAAGAUUCAGAGAGGGAGCCUGUUCUUCCUAAGUGCUGUUCAAGUCACCAGCAGCUCAGAAAACCAUCGAACAUCGGAGAAUGGCCACUGCACACAUUAAUGCUUCCACUGCUGCCCUUUGACGGUUUUUGUACCUAUUCAUGCUGUUUCAGGUUCAGUGUUGUCAUCUCACACUGGACUCCUGUUCUCCAACAAGUGACUGUGUAAACGGGGAGGAGAGAAAUCGCAAGGUUUCUAACAAUUAUCUGCAGCUUUCUUACCAAGACCCAGUAGCCUGCAGAAGAGAACGCCUCCAAUUUCCUGCCCUCUCAUUGGCAUGGCCUACACCCUCACUGUGUGACCUCAGGCAAGUAUCUAAAAUUCUCUCAGCCUUGGUAUCUUCCUCCCCGAAACAGAAACAGUAAUA